UGCAGUCGGGCGGUAGCACAAAGGAGCUUGCUCCUUGGGUGACGAGCGGCGGACGGGUGAGUAAUGUCUGGGAAACUGCCUGAUGGAGGGGGAUAACUACUGGAAACGGUAGCUAAUACCGCAUAACGUCGCAAGACCAAAGAGGGGGACCUUCGGGCCUCUUGCCAUCGGAUGUGCCCAGAUGGGAUUAGCUAGUAGGUGAGGUAAAGGCUCACCUAGGCGACGAUCCCUAGCUGGUCUGAGAGGAUGACCAGCCACACUGGAACUGAGACACGGUCCAGACUCCUACGGGAGGCAGCAGUGGGGAAUAUUGCACAAUGGGCGCAAGCCUGAUGCAGCCAUGCCGCGUGUGUGAAGAAGGCCUUCGGGUUGUAAAGCACUUUCAGCGGGGAGGAAGGGAGCAGGCUUAAUACGUCUGUUCAUUGACGUUACCCGCAGAAGAAGCACCGGCUAACUCCGUGCCAGCAGCCGCGGUAAUACGGAGGGUGCAAGCGUUAAUCGGAAUGACUGGGCGUAAAGCGCACGCAGGCGGUCUGUUAAGUUGGAUGUGAAAUCCCCGGGCUUAACCUGGGAACUGCAUUCAAAACUGACAGGCUAGAGUCUCGUAGAGGGGGGUAGAAUUCCAGGUGUAGCGGUGAAAUGCGUAGAGAUCUGGAGGAAUACCGGUGGCGAAGGCGGCCCCCUGGACGAAGACUGACGCUCAGGUGCGAAAGCGUGGGGAGCAAACAGGAUUAGAUACCCUGGUAGUCCACGCUGUAAACGAUGUCGAUUUGGAGGUUGUGGUCUUGAACCGUGGCUUCCGGAGCUAACGCGUUAAAUCGACCGCCUGGGGAGUACGGCCGCAAGGUUAAAACUCAAAUGAAUUGACGGGGGCCCGCACAAGCGGUGGAGCAUGUGGUUUAAUUCGAUGCAACGCGAAGAACCUUACCUACUCUUGACAUCCAGAGAAGACUGCAGAGAUGCGGGUGUGCCUUCGGGAACUCUGAGACAGGUGCUGCAUGGCUGUCGUCAGCUCGUGUUGUGAAAUGUUGGGUUAAGUCCCGCAACGAGCGCAACCCUUAUCCUUUGUUGCCAGCACGUUAUGGUGGGAACUCAAGGGAGACUGCCGGUGAUAAACCGGAGGAAGGUGGGGAUGACGUCAAGUCAUCAUGGCCCUUACGAGUAGGGCUACACACGUGCUACAAUGGCGUAUACAAAGAGAAGCGACCUCGCGAGAGCAAGCGGACCUCAUAAAGUACGUCGUAGUCCGGAUUGGAGUCUGCAACUCGACUCCAUGAAGUCGGAAUCGCUAGUAAUCGUAGAUCAGAAUGCUACGGUGAAUACGUUCCCGGGCCUUGUACACACCGCCCGUCACACCAUGGGAGUGGGUUGCAAAAGAAGUAGGUAGCUUAACCUUCGGGAGGGCGCUUACCAC
This 1414-nucleotide ribosomal RNA is filed under the name Dickeya zeae. RNAcentral describes it as "bacterial SSU rRNA". It matches the Rfam family "Bacterial small subunit ribosomal RNA". The record is from RNAcentral. Lineage: Bacteria; Pseudomonadati; Pseudomonadota; Gammaproteobacteria; Enterobacterales; Pectobacteriaceae.